UACAGAGGUCCCGAGCGUUGUUCGGAUUCACUGGGCGUAAAGGGUGCGUAGGUGGUGAGGUAAGUCGGAUGUGAAAUCUCCAAGCUCAACUUGGAAACUGCAUUGGAAACUACCUUGCUAGAGGAUUUGAGGGGGGAUUGGAAUACUUGGUGUAGCAGUGAAAUGCGUAGAUAUCAAGUGGAACACCAGUGGCGAAGGCGAAUCCCUGGAAAAUACCUGACACUGAGGCACGAAAGCUAGGGGAGCAAACAGG
RNAcentral lists this ribosomal RNA (253 nucleotides) under uncultured bacterium. RNAcentral's name for it is "partial 16S ribosomal RNA". It matches the Rfam family "Bacterial small subunit ribosomal RNA", at positions 524 to 776 of the family's 1533-position model. The record is from RNAcentral.